This 240-nucleotide unclassified non-coding RNA is filed under the name soil metagenome. Its description in RNAcentral is "partial contains 5.8S ribosomal RNA, internal transcribed spacer 2, and large subunit ribosomal RNA". The record is from RNAcentral.
AACGCACGAGACCUGCGGACCUGCGGAAGGAUCAUUACCAAGAGAAAUCUUUCAACACUGAAAGAUCUUUUCCUUUGUGCUGGCUUUGACCGUAUGUAAUUUUGGGACUUUAAAAUGGUUCGCAAGGGCCGGUCCCAAAAACAAUAUAUCAUCCUUAUGAAAUUUUUUCUGAACAAUUAAACAAAUGAUUUUAAUAAUCUGUUUAAAACAACUUUCAACAAUGGAUCUCUAGAUCGGAAG